CCAAGUCUUCCCAAAUGCAUUGGAUUUCAACUAAUUUUGGAAGCUAAGCAGGGUCAGGCCUGUUUAGUAUUUGCAUGGGAGAUCACCAGGGAACUCGGCAGGACUAGGA
Molecule: ribosomal RNA, 109 nt
Filed under: Pogona vitticeps (central bearded dragon)
Lineage: Eukaryota; Metazoa; Chordata; Lepidosauria; Squamata; Agamidae
Source: RNAcentral